Peromyscus maniculatus bairdii (prairie deer mouse) is the source of this 1161-nucleotide non-coding RNA. The record is from RefSeq and is a predicted model, not a curated record. Lineage: Eukaryota; Metazoa; Chordata; Mammalia; Rodentia; Cricetidae.
ACAAGGGGUUUUCUCGCAGCAAAAAGUUUUGUAAUCACUCACUGGCACACCCAAACACUGUCCAGUUAAGUGGUAGUGUACAGAUGGAUGAACUCUCCUCAGCUUCAAGAAAAUAAUCAUCUAUGCCAGGGAACUGAAGGCACAACCUGAAACCCAAAGAGGAACGUCUGUGAGGAGGUAGCAGACUCCAGCCUGGUAUACAUGUGUGUCUACAUGAGUUUAUGUGCAUCACAUUCAUGCAGGACCCACUGGAAUUGGAGUUGUGGUCUCUGUGAGCCAUCAGGUGGGUGCUGGGACUAAACUCGGGUCCUGUGCAAGAGCAGUAAGUGCUCUUAACUUCUGAGGUAUCUGAGGCCCCCUAAAAGGCAUCUCACAUGAGUAGUACACAAAUGCCAACAGCAGCUUUAGGCCGAUGUCUUCACUGAUAAAUACUGUGGUCUUGCCAUAUAGAUUUUUCAGAUUUCUACAGUUUUUACACAAGUCUACAUAGGGUACAGCAGACACUCCUCAGGUGUUGGUUACUGGGCAUUCCUUUUUAUAAAAGCAACUCCUGUUCAUAAUUUUUAGCUUUUUGACAAUGGGAAACUCAUUUAUCUGUGACUCUAUCCAAUAAACUCAGUCAUGGGACAGCAGAGUCAUUUUGAAAGGGGAACAAAAAAGCCACAGCACUCUUCCAAAGCAUGAGUCAUCACAUUCCCUGGUCUCUUCCAAAGCAUGAGUCAUCACAUUCCCUGAUCUUUUCCAAGAAAAAUCUGCCUUCACAGGACUGAGAGAUAGAUCCCUGCAUCAGUUAGCAUGUUUGUGUUUGAAUUGCCUCUUGCUUUAGGAAUACCACACAAACCACAAUGCAAUUUACUACAUUCAAACACAGAAAAAGAAAUGGGGUGAGAUGGGGCCCUGGAAAGAUGGCUCUACUGGUUAAGAACAUUGUAUUCUCUCACAGAGGACCCAGGUUCAAUUCCCAGCACCCAUGUGGUGGCUCACAAUUGUCUGUAACUCCAUUUCAGGAGAACUAGCAUCCCUACUGACCUCUGCUGAUACUGCAUGUGGUAUGCUUUCACACAUGCAGGCAAAAUACCCACAUGUAUAAAAUAAAAACAAAUGAAUAUUUUUAAAGAAAAGAAAAAAAACAGUAAAAUUCAUCUUAACAGCAUGUCUUCU